AGAGUUUGAUCCUGGCUCAGGAUGAACGCUGGCGGCGUGCCUAACACAUGCAAGUCGAGCGAUUCUCUUCGGAGAAGAGCGGCGGACGGGUGAGUAACGCGUGGGUAACCUGCCUCAUACACAUGGAUAACAUACCGAAAGGUAUGCUAAUACAAGAUGAUAUAAGAGAUUCGCAUGGAUUUCUUAUCAAAGCUCCGGCGGUAUGAGAUGGACCCGCGUCUGAUUAGCUAGUUGGUAAGGUAACGGCUUACCAAGGCGACGAUCAGUAGCCGACCUGAGAGGGUGAUCGGCCACAUUGGAACUGAGACACGGUCCAAACUCCUACGGGAGGCAGCAGUGGGGAAUAUUGCACAAUGGGCGAAAGCCUGAUGCAGCAACGCCGCGUGAGCGAUGAAGGCCUUCGGGUCGUAAAGCUCUGUCCUCAAGGAAGAUAAUGACGGUACUUGAGGAGGAAGCCCCGGCUAACUACGUGCCAGCAGCCGCGGUAAUACGUAGGGGGCUAGCGUUAUCCGGAUUUACUGGGCGUAAAGGGUGCGUAGGUGGUUUCUUAAGUCAGGAGUGAAAGGCUACGGCUCAACCGUAGUAAGCUCUUGAAACUGGGAAACUUGAGUGCAGGAGAGGAAAGUGGAAUUCCUAGUGUAGCGGUGAAAUGCGUAGAUAUUAGGAGGAACACCAGUAGCGAAGGCGGCUUUCUGGACUGUAACUGACACUGAGGCACGAAAGCGUGGGGAGCAAACAGGAUUAGAUACCCUGGUAGUCCACGCCGUAAACGAUGAGUACUAGGUGUCGGGGGUUACCCCCCUCGGUGCCGCAGCUAACGCAUUAAGUACUCCGCCUGGGGAGUACGCUCGCAAGAGUGAAACUCAAAGGAAUUGACGG
Molecule: ribosomal RNA, 879 nt
Filed under: uncultured bacterium
Lineage: Bacteria
Description: bacterial SSU rRNA
Rfam family: Bacterial small subunit ribosomal RNA
Source: RNAcentral